CUGAUUCCACGAUCUCCAGACGGAGCUCAUCAUUUGAGAAACUGGGUGAAUUAUCAUUUAUAUCCAAUAUCUCAACUUCAGCGCUGUAGAGUUCCACUGGAUUUUCGAUGAUAAUGUUAUUAGUAAGCAUGCAUCUAGCGUUUUGUCCACAGAGUUUCUCUCUGUCUAUCUUAACAUUCACGCGCAACUCUCCAUUAUCCAAGUUUACCUUAAAAUACCGUUCAUUGGCCUCAGGCAUUAACCGAAGCUUGCGAUUAGCUAAUUCGUUCACAUCUAAGCCUAAAUCCCUGGCAACAUUCCCAACAAAGGCUCCGUGCUCCAGUUCUUCAGGAAUUGAAUAACGGAUCUGUCCAGAGACAUUUUCCCAACUACAAAGCAGGAAAAUAAAAGACCACACUAGCAUUCUCUGUCUGAAUUAGUCUUCGCAUUCGGAGUGCUGUAGGAAUCCAAGGCGCCAACCACUUGUUUGAUCCAAAAUGUCGAGACGAAUACUUGAUAUCCGUUUCUAAUAGUUGAGAAAGACUGCAUGGAAAAGAUGGCUGUUGAAUGUGAAUGUAAACACCGAGUCAGUGCUUUCCCUUCUUUCCGAUUCUUCGCUGUACGUGGUGUAAGGGGGAGGAGAGAUGGAUCUCCAGCUGUAUUUGAGUACCUCAUUGGUACACAGCGACACAAAGAGUCUCGGCCAAUUAUUGCACGGUACAGUCGUGGACUGCGUCAACAGUGUGGAAGGAAGUUGUCAUUUGGCAUGCAGUUCAUUAAUAGUUAAGAAAUAAAAGAGGUGUGGGUGUGUGUACGUUACACGAAAUCCGACCAACUAUUGUAAAGCAAGGCUUUUUGUUUUAGUAUUUUAAUAGUGUUACACGUAUUUACGACCUGUGCAGUGGAAAUCAUUCCCGCCACCGUGUUCGUCAGUUCCUGAAAAACACAAUGGCGAAGAUAAAACUCCCCAGAAAUGUUAUUUUCCUCUUGGAAGAGUGGUGUUUCAUUUUUUUUAACUGCAACACUCCUUGCGGUGUAACUGUUGUGAAGACACAGUGGCAUACAUUCAUAUCAAACUGCUGUGUACCAUGGCAAGGAACUUGCAGAAUCAUUGAAGUAUACAGAUGAAAACAGGCCCUGCAGUCAACUCGUCCAAUGCCGACGAUGUUUCAUAAACUAAGCCAGUCCCCUUUGCCUGAGUUGACCCCUAUCUCUCUAAACAUUACCUGUCCACGUAUCUGUUCAAAUGUCUUUUAAAUUUUGUGAUUGUACCUGCCUCUACUACUUCAUCUGGCAGCUUGUUCCAUAGACAUUCUACUCCCAAUGUGAAAAUGUUGCCCUUCAAGUCCUUUUGUCAUCUUUAUCCUCUCACCUUCAGCCUAUGCCCUCUAGACUCCCCUACCCUGGGAAAUAGACCUUGACUUAUCUGUGCCUCUCAUGAUUUUCUAAACCUCUACAAGGUCACCCCCAGCUUCCUGUGCUCGAGAGAAAAAUAGUCCCAGCCUAUCCACCCUCUUUAUAAUUCAAACCUUCCAGCCUUGGUUACAUUUUGUAAAUCAUUUUUUGCACCAUUCCCAGUAUAAUAUCAACCUUCCUAAAGCAGGACAAACAGAAUUUAUGUAGUUCUCCAAAUGUGGCCUUACUAAUGUCUCGUACAGUGAUAAUGUGACAUUGCAAAUCCUGUACUUAAUGCUCUGACUGAUGAAAUGGAUUCAAGCAGAUUUAAAGUUUUAAAGUUUAGUGUCUGGUUUUAAAGUAGAUUUUAAUUUCACGGUGUGUCUUGUUGGGAUUCUAAUUCAUAUCCCAGGAACCUUAGUCUGGGACCCUGGAUUACUUGUUCAAUGACUAUAUCACUUGAUUUUGCAAAUUUAAAGUUUACUAUGAAGUUAAUUGCAUUGUCAUUUUUUUAUUUCUGUUGUUGAUGAUCACUCAAAGAUUUUAAUUGAUACUUUUUGUAUUUUGUUCACCCAUUACUGCAUGCCAUGGCAUGAUCUGUUUUGUACUUCAAAGCUUUCAGUGUUUUUGGAACAUAGUUUUUUUUAAGUGCAAACAAAAUGCACUAUCCGUUACUGGUCUUGGUAUACCUAGGGAUAAAUCUGAAACAGGCUCAAUAGUGAUCUUAGUAGAAUCAAUGCAUUAUAGCAAAUCAAAAAAUCUACUAAACAGUGGGUUGUAGAUCAGAGAUGGUCACAAGGCCUUGUCACUUCUUGAAACUGCAUUCAGUUCAGAAACAUCAAAAUUUUAGAGGUAUGAAAAUUAUCAAUAAGCUUUUUAAAGGCCUAGUACUACCGGGGUCAUCAUUGAAGGUAAUUGUGUUUAAACAUAGAGAGGGCAGAGUUGGGGCAAGGAGUAGGUGGGACCUGUGUAUUUAUAAAAUUUCAGCAGAAUUCAUUGAAUAUUGAAUACUUUAACUGGCUACCCACCACUGCCAGAUUGGUAACAAUUGAAGCUGUAAUCCUCCUCUCCUUGAAAAAGGCCAAAGAGAUGGUAGCACAUCAGAGGCCCCAACUGAAAUUCCCUCUUUCACCACUUCCCCCUCCACCCACUCCCCGUCCUUCCAUUCCCAAACUUCCUACCUAUAAAAUCUCCCCAGAAAAAUUCCAGCCCCUGAUACUGUUGGACCAAAACAGAAAAACAGAAUAUUGCCAGAACAUAAAUUGCUCCCCCUACCUGAUCUGACCUGUACAUGAUUCCAUUAACCAAGGGCGGUGGAUUAUAUCUGCUGUCUGAAGUGACCCAACAAGCAAUUUCAAUGUACCAACAUUUAUGUCAGACAGUAAAAGUGAUCAUGAAUGUUUUAGAUUCUGAUCUAAAAAGACAAUUGAUUAUUAAUGUCUCUGGGGACAGAUUGGUCUGAUUUGUAAUGACUGCAAUCCCACAUCAUCAUGAUUGUUUUUUGACUGUACUCUUUGAAGUGGCUGAACAAAACAUAUGAAUCUCAUAGCACUGGGGAUGAACAAUAAAGCAAUGUAGACAUCAAUUUAAUUAGUCAUAUUUAAAUGAUCUCAUAAAUGUGUUAAAAUGUCGAGGUUUUGACAGAUCCUGAAAUUGCUUCUAGUAUUUAUGGAACCAAAAAGGUAUCAAUUCCUUUCUAUACUGAUAUCAAUUGGUGCAGAAACUAGGUGGGAUUUGUGCUUGUACCAUGUAUCUCUAUGAAAUGUUGGAACAUAUUUGUAAUUAAUUUGUGGGGAAAUUCUGUGUUUUUUUAAUGAUGUAGAGUUCAUUUCUCAAUUUUGCCUGAAUUUUCUGACAUUUGCAUUUGUCAAUCAAUUAGCUAUUUAAUUGUGUAGGGAAUACUGUUGUGCUAUUAACACUCGAGUGAAGAGUCAGUAGAGUAAUUGGUCCAUUCAUUUUGCUCUCUUGGUUCUAUAUUUCCUAGACAUUUUCUGAUGAAAGAGUCUGAUUAAGAUGCAAUGUUUAGAAAGCUUGUGAUUUCAAAUAAACCUG
Stegostoma tigrinum is the source of this 3426-nucleotide long non-coding RNA. RefSeq lists it as uncharacterized. The transcript has 3 exons. The record is from RefSeq and is a predicted model, not a curated record. NCBI's taxonomy places the organism in Eukaryota, Metazoa, Chordata, Chondrichthyes, Orectolobiformes, Stegostomatidae.